This 343-nucleotide unclassified non-coding RNA is filed under the name soil metagenome. Its description in RNAcentral is "partial contains 5.8S ribosomal RNA, internal transcribed spacer 2, and large subunit ribosomal RNA". The stretch from base 1 to 120 matches the Rfam family "5.8S ribosomal RNA", at positions 35 to 154 of the family's 154-position model. The record is from RNAcentral.
GAUGAAGAACGCAGCGAAAUGCGAUAAGUAAUGUGAAUUGCAGAAUCCAGUGAAUCAUCGAAUCUUUGAACGCACAUUGCGCCCGCCAGCAUUCUGGCGGGCAUGCCUGUUCGAGCGUCAUUUCAACCCUCGACCUCCCUUUGGGGAAGUCGGCGUUGGGGACCGGCAGCACACCGCCGGCCCUGAAAUGGAGUGGCGGCCCGUCCGCGGCGACCUCUGCGUAGUAACCCAACUCGCACCGGAACCCCGACGUGGCCACGCCGUAAAACACCCAACUUCUGAACGUUGACCUCGAAUCAGGUAGGACUACCCGCUGAACUUAAGCAUAUCAAUAAGCGGAGGA